UGGAAAGCUUGGGGGCUGAGAGAAAU
This 26-nucleotide non-coding RNA is filed under the name Homo sapiens (human). Lineage: Eukaryota; Metazoa; Chordata; Mammalia; Primates; Hominidae. The record is from RNAcentral.